RNAcentral lists this ribosomal RNA (515 nucleotides) under uncultured bacterium. Its description in RNAcentral is "partial 16S ribosomal RNA". It matches the Rfam family "Bacterial small subunit ribosomal RNA", at positions 28 to 523 of the family's 1533-position model. The record is from RNAcentral.
GAUGAACGCUGGCGGCGUGCCUAAUACAUGCAAGUCGAGCGAAUGGAUCAAGAGCUUGCUCUUAUGAAGUUAGCGGCGGACGGGUGAGUAACACGUGGGUAACCUGCCCAUAAGACUGGGAUAACUCCGGGAAACCGGGGCUAAUACCGGAUAACAUUUUGAACCGCAUGGUUCGAAAUUGAAAGGCGGCUUCGGCUGUCACUUAUGGAUGGACCCGCGUCGCAUUAGCUAGUUGGUGAGGUAACGGCUCACCAAGGCAACGAUGCGUAGCCGACCUGAGAGGGUGAUGGGCCACACUGGGACUGAGACACGGCCCAGACUCCUACGGGAGGCAGCAGUAGGGAAUGUUCCGCAAUGGACGAAAGUCUGACGGAGCAACGCCGCGUGAGUGAUGAAGGCUUUCGGGUCGUAAAACUCUGUUGUUAGGGAAGAACAAGUGCUAGUUGAAUAAGCUGGCACCUUGACGGUACCUAACCAGAAAGCCACGGCUAACUACGUGCCAGCCGCCGCAGUAA